Molecule: non-coding RNA, 110 nt
Organism: Mycena epipterygia
Lineage: Eukaryota; Fungi; Basidiomycota; Agaricomycetes; Agaricales; Mycenaceae
Source: the annotation of a GenBank genome assembly
ACACUCAUGGUGAAGCGGUUAUCAUGCUUGCCUUCCAGUCUAUGCUUACGUAAUCAGCUUUGCGUAAUUUAGGUGAGCAAGCGGCAGGGGUUCGACUCCCCUUGAGUGUA